UGGCUCAGUUGGUAGAGCAUGGUGUUUGCAACACCAUUGUUGUGGGUUUGAUUCCCAU
Salmo salar (Atlantic salmon) is the source of this 58-nucleotide non-coding RNA. Lineage: Eukaryota; Metazoa; Chordata; Actinopteri; Salmoniformes; Salmonidae. The record is from Rfam.